Molecule: long non-coding RNA, 3657 nt
Organism: Planococcus citri (citrus mealybug)
Lineage: Eukaryota; Metazoa; Arthropoda; Insecta; Hemiptera; Pseudococcidae
Exons: 3
Source: RefSeq, a predicted model, not a curated record
UGCAUGAAUAGUUAAUAUCGCUUCUAAGUACUCGUAUUUAUCAAAAUACAUUUCAAAUCGCGAUGAGAAAUAAUUAUUUCCCGAGUGAAGUACACUCACUUCCGCCCCUCUUUGAUAGAGUAUGAUUACCAAGAGAUACAACGAAAAAUGAAAUAAAAUUUCCACAUAAAAUUAUUCAGUAUAUUAUUGUGCACUUAUUGCUGAAAUUUAGGUAAGUUUGUUGCACAUUAUAUUUAUGACUCAUAUACAUAUAUAUCAUUCACUAAUGGUGUAUUUCUAAGAUAAAUGCGUUAUGAUAAGUACCUAAGUAUCUAAUGAAAAAUCGCAUGUUGAAUAAGUCCGGACCAAUUCUCAGAUUUUAGUAGGUAGCACUAAAAGGCACUGCAUGAAUUUCACACUAUAACCAGUUUUGAAUAUCAGUUAGGAGUACCCAUGGAAGAAUUCACUACGAUGUACUUGAACCGUACAACAGAUGAAUUCGCUACAAUCAACAACCAUACUGAAGAACUCUAUGUAAUAGUAGUAACCGACAGGGCGGAUAAUGGGGAACGCGAACUCCUCAUGCUAUCAGCUCUUUUGCUCCAGAUGUUUCAGAGAUGUGCACAUUUGACAUCAACCAUAACAUUACUUAUCCAUUUUUACAAGUUUUUUCAAAGUACGUCACCUCAAAGUUUAGCUACUAAAAAUCUCACUGUGUACAGUUUUAUUUUAUUCUUGAACUACGCUUUGCCAUUCGUACAACUCAUCUCCUACACGUUGAAUAUUUCACGGUCAUUCAGUGAUAUUUACUAUUUCGCAUAUAAAUAUUUAUACUUAACGACAGCAUUUUUCAAAUUAAUUAUGGCUGUAGACUUAUGCUCGACAUUUCGUAAAAUUGCUUUAUAUUUACAAUCGCCUCUUGCAUGUGAAGCCCGCAAAAAAUGUUUUAUUCAUGGUAUUUUAGGUAUGAGUAUUCCUUUGGUCUACAUGAUAAUAGUUACAGUAUAUCCAUCACUAUAUCGUAGCCUCAUUAAUUUCACAUAUUAUCGAGGUGAAACAGGUGAGGUAAUUAUCAUUCAUAUUUUGCGUUUAUUUCCGAUUAUUGGAGCAUUUUGGUACAUAGGAACAGCCAGUAUGAAUAAAUCUGAAUUAUGUACAAAAUUUUCUUUGCAUGCACGACUUCUAGUGAUGCUAGGUGGAUUAACAGUGGCGCAUCUAUUUACACUUAUAUUCGUAUUUACUGAUGUAAAUGAUCCACUUUUGUAUUUGCAUGUUUCUGAAAAUCCAAUUAUGUAUAUAGAACUUGUAAAAACGUACGGUAUUUAUUUUGAAGGUAUUGCUAUUGCUAAAUAUUUCACGUUCAAUAAACAAACAUUUAAACCUUUGAAUACAUGCAACUAAAAUGCAGAUAGUAAAUUUGGACAUUUAUUUACUACACGGAAAAAUUUUUUAAUAAAAAUUACUAUUUCAGUGUAGUAACCGGAUCCCAUUCAAAAAUAAUAGUGAUUUUUACUCAGCCAAAAAAUACAUUUUACCUAGAAAUUAGGUAAAAUUUAUUACUCUCAUAGUAAAAUUUACUAAUCUCAAAGUAAAAAUCACAAUAUUUUUGAAUGGGAUCCGGUUACUGUGUGAAAUAGUAAAAAUUAUCCAUAAUUUUUUUUUCGUGUAGUAUUAUACAGACUAAGAUCUAUGCCGCCACGCACGCCACAGCCGCGUGAAAACUUUGUUACUUCAGGGUGCACAUUUAUUCUAUAUAGGUAGGUAGUGGUACGUACGUACUUCGUGACUAUAUGUUCGUUUGUUUGUUUGUUUGUUUUUUUUUUGAUUUUUCAAAUAAUGAAGAAUAUAAUUUUAUUUCACACUUCUUAGUUAUUUUUCGUUAUGAUGAGAGAGAGUAUCUGCUUCACAAUCUCUGGCUUGCUGAUAGCUCGGUAGUAAGUAGAGGUACGUAGCAAGUAAGCUAGGUAUGAACAAUGUACAGGGUGCACAAAAAUAUCGUGAACCCCAAAAAAAGUUUUUCAUUAAAAAUAUAGGUUGGCAACGUGAAACAGAUGCAUAUGAUUGGUGGAAUGCUAACCGGUGACUGACGUUCGCUUGACACAUCUUUUGUCGUCAUUAGAGGAAAAAAUGACGUUCACAAAUUUUCAGUGCUGAUAAUCGAUUUGCAACAACAAAGAGAUAGAAAUAACCAUAUAUGGGCAUACGUAGUGAUACAAUAUCCAGUUUCACGCUAGUGAUUUUCGCCUCGCCCUCCUUUGAAAAAAACGUGAAUAGAUUAAUUAAGUAUCACCCGAGUUUUUGGAAAAUGAAACAUUUAGUUCGUGCAUAAAUGAUAAUAGUGAUUUCCCAGAUAUACUUUAUCUAACGUGUGCAAAACUGGAAAGUUGGGAAAGUUGUUGCAUUUGUAUUCGUUGUAGUUUCAAUACGUAAAUAUAGACCUACAUAACUACGAGUAUUUACACAACAAGAUAAUCUCACGAUUCGACGAAAAUUUGAACACAGAAAAUAUCAUUACAGAAAUUGGGAAAAUUUGAAUUCAAUCAGAUGGGGAUUUCUGAUUCAAACACUUACUGAUAGACUUAUACAUACAAAAAUCAUUCGAGAUCAGUUUUCGUACUGCGUAAGUAACAACAUUGCUGCAACCAAAUAACCAUGCAAUCACUAAUGCAAGUAUUGUGUUUACUCUUUGCCACAAUCAUAUAUGGACUUUCAACCAGCUGUGUAGUUAUUCAUUUAUAUAAAUUCUUUCACAAUGCAAUACGCACAUACAGUUUGCCGACUAAAACCCUCACUUUCUAUUGUUUUUUAUUACUGAUAUUCUAUUUUUUCUCGCUGCUGACGUUUUUUGCAGUAUAUUUCCUAGCAUAUAACUGCUUACCAAUUUUAGCACAUGUUCUUGGAUAUACUAUGUUGGUAAUGGCAUUUUUCAAAUUAAUUAUCACGAUAGAUAUAUGCUUCGACUGCAUAAAAGUCGUUUUCAACCAGCAACCCGAUUUAUCAGAUCCUAAAAAUGGAAAGUUCUUGUGUUAUUGUCUCAUAAGUAUGGGAAUUUCGUUGCUAUAUUAUUAUUUUUGGUUUGUAUUUAAAACAGAAAAUAUUUCAGAAUUCCGAUUUCAUUCUUAUUAUCCAUCCACUUGGACUCUUCGAGUGUUAUGUUUGCCGCCAAUCGUUGGUACAUUUUGCAUUUUAAAAUUUGCGAAAAUUGAUGAGGCUGAAUUUCGAGCAAUGUUUUCCGAGCACAUACGUGUUCUUCUUAUGUUGGUGGGAUUUUGUGGAAUCUUGUGUGCUGCAGAAUUUUGUGAAACUGUUGAUAUUGUAUUUAGGAAUGUUUCGCCACAGAAAGUACAAUUCAUUACCAGUUUUCUGAAAGGUCUCAUUAUAGGAAUAUGUUUUACAUUUAAUAAAGAUCAAUUUCACGUGAUUGAUACUUCUGAUGUUGAUUGAAAAUCUUUUCAAUUUGUCUUUCGAAUGAUGAUCGGGUUAGGUAGUAAUCAUGUGAAAAUGAAUGAAUGCGAUCCGUUACAUUAAGACAUAAGCCUAAAAGUUGAAAAUACAAAUAAGUUUUGCAGUCAAUGUCACUGAUUUUAAAUAGAUAAUAAGAAUGUUAUACAUGUAAAUACACAGCCACUUUUGUAUUCAUUAAUUCAAAUACACAUAAAUAAACUUUUCGAAUUUUAA